CCUGUGAGUUAUUAGUAAUAUGAAUUAGUGUGCAUUGAUUCCUGAGCCAGGCUGAUCUUCUGGAAUCCCUAGAGAGAGCUUUGAAAAUGCACAUUUCUGAAUCUUACACAAAUACAUGGAAUUGGAGCCUGAGGGACAUGUCUGGACCCCAUGUUUAGAAGCUUACCAGGGGACACUGAUCCAGCCAGCCCGGCUCGCAUCUGCACACCAGCCCUGGGACAGCAUGCCUGCCCUUGUUGCUCUGGCGUGGGGUCAGGAUACAUCCUAAGCUCUAAUUCUGGGGACACAGUGAUCUUGUGAUGGUGCUGUUUCAGGGAGAAGGGAGAUGCCUGGAGUGAAGAGCGGGUGUGAUGGCUCCUCCCAGCAUCUCUGAGCUGCCUGUACUGGGAAGCCAGGAGGAUGAACCAACUGACCACUUUGUGAACUACUGGAUCCUUCCUUACCGGGACUGUGCAGUAUUUAAUGACUCAACUCCGGAUGUUUCCUUUCCACUGAUGUCAGUUUAUAGAGCAGCUCUCAAGCGAAUGUUUGUGCAGAAAGGAAAGAGGUCCCCGCCAGCAGGAGUCUGUGAUUAAAUGGAGACACAGAUGCUGCCUUCUGCAGCUUAUACAUGUGAAACGACGGAGAAAGUCUGCAGGACGCUUUCGUCAUCAGAAAGG
This 659-nucleotide long non-coding RNA is filed under the name Heterocephalus glaber (naked mole-rat). Its description in RNAcentral is "lncRNA (ENSHGLG00000045070.1)". Lineage: Eukaryota; Metazoa; Chordata; Mammalia; Rodentia; Bathyergidae. The record is from RNAcentral.